UUGCAUUUCCUAACCUCUUGUCCUUGAUUUUUAACAGCUUGCUGGACCUGGAUGCCUAUGUUUAGGUUUCAAAGACAGCAUGUUUAAAAUUAAUCUAGUCCAUUUGCUUAGUGUGUGGGGCUCUUUGUCUUUGCUUGAAGACUUUCAGUGGUGUGGAACUCUGAACUUCUCAAGCAAUUCAUUUUUAAAAUGAUAGUAUACUCUACAUACAAUGAUAUGCACAUUUCUUCUGUCUUCUGUGUUUCAGUUUGGACAGUCAUGUACACCCAUGUAAUUAUCACUGAAAGAAGAUUCAAAGUAUUUCCAUCACCCCAGAAAAUAUACUCACACCAUACCACUUUCCAUGCAAUAUUCCACACCUGGAGCAGCCCCUUUACAUCUUCUAUCAUCUAAUGACAAUUUUACCUGCUCUAGAAUUUCAUAUAAAUGGAAUAAAAGGAAUGUGCUGGAGAAUAGGAGCAGAAGAUGGCAACCAGGACACCAGAAACUUGAUGUUCCGCUUUGGGAGAACUCAUACGUGGCACCAUUCCUAUAAAAUGAGGAAAAUAGCUUUGAAGAUGAUGAUCUACUUCCAUCAUGAACAUUCUACCAAGCGUGAGUAUGGCAUCUAUGGCACCCUCAGCUACAUUUAAUCAUUCAACUCUUCUGCACACGCUGCGCCCCAGCCAUACCAAACAAGCUAAACCAAAAGAUCUGGAUUAUCCACAUCACUAUACCUUUCAUAUGCUCAUCUUACCUUCUUUGUUCAUCUCAUUGAAGAAACAAGGAAAAGUCAUUUACCAGUUCUGACACUUCACCUCUUCUGCUCCCAUACCCACCCCAGCAGCACAUCUGUUGUAGGUGCACAGGCCUCUGCAAUAGAACCUAUUAUCUUGCAUUACAAUUGUUAGUUCCUAUGCCUGAUUUCCUUAUUCAAAUAGAGGAUAAGGGGAAAAAAAUCUUGUCUUCUAGAAUGGCUUGCACAUUGUCUGGUCCUUGGAAGUUUCUCAAUACGUUUUUUUUUUACCAUAAGUGAG
This 1016-nucleotide long non-coding RNA is filed under the name Homo sapiens (human). Its description in RNAcentral is "HSALNT0326930". Lineage: Eukaryota; Metazoa; Chordata; Mammalia; Primates; Hominidae. The record is from RNAcentral.